Molecule: unclassified non-coding RNA, 1562 nt
Filed under: Hevea brasiliensis (rubber tree)
Lineage: Eukaryota; Viridiplantae; Streptophyta; Magnoliopsida; Malpighiales; Euphorbiaceae
Source: RNAcentral
AAAAAAAAAAAAAAAAGACAAUAAUUAAGAUAAGGAAAAAAAAACCCAUCCAUUUAUCUUUCGUCACUCGAUAAAAUCUUCAAACUGUCUGACGUCGUUUAAACAAGGAAAAAAAUAUUUAUUGCGCUGUGGCGGCUCAUUCAUUGGUUGGGACGGUGGGCCCGUUAACGCCUUCAUGAAACACCUUAGCAAUCCUCUCGAUUGGGAUCAACGGCACAUACGCCGCCGCCAUAUACCCUCUAUCCGCUGCAUAAGAAACCAACUGAUUGUAUUUCUCAGACCAGCGAGCAGCAGUGGGGACUACGACUUGAGCAGCUUGAGGAAAUAGAGGAAGCCGAUUCAGUGUAUGCCAGGCCGACACCGCGUAAUGCUCAGCCAACGGUUCGUACUUGCAAUACAGCUCCUUAGCCGUCGGCUCAUACUUUGUAUACAUCGUCUUCGCAAUGCUCUUCGCUGCCUCCACGAUGCCGGCGCGCUGAACUUCACAAGCCACGGCUCGAGCUUGGCUUGAAGCCUGCUUCACCAGCGACGGCACGUGCCUGUCUAUUUCGCUUAGAGCGUCGUCAACCUGCAUUGCACGUGAGCCCCAAAAUCCUGUGACUAUAAUACCACGCGGAGUAGGAAGGAACAAGCAUAUAAGAAUACUGACCUUGCGAUCGACGAAUUUGAGAAGUUCAAAGGGAACGUCGCAGAACUUCUCGUAUACCGGUCCGAUGACCAUUUUGACGGUGCCUUCGACGGUCUGGACCGCCGGUUUUAAAGGACCGGAGUUUUCCUUUGCGUAGUCAUAUAUGGUUGAGAAACAAAUUAUAACGUAAAUCGUCGCCACUUGAACGAAAUCUAAAUACUUGACCGUUUUGUCGUUAUCUUGAGCCUUCAACAAAAAUGCAAAAACACAAACGAAAAUCCUGAAACACUCUGAAAAAGAAAAACUGAUUUCCUUAAGAGCUUUCUAUCAAUUCUAGGCAGCCAAACAAAAGCAUUACACGCAAAUAUUCAGAUGAAGUGAAGAGGAAAGAUGAAUAUGAUACCAUCUCUGUAUGUUGUUCCAUUUCAGAUUCAGCCAUUUUUCCCCGUUUGGUGACUUCUUUUGCAACCUUUCCUUACCCUGAAAAAGCCUACUCCUGCAAAUUCCUAAAUGACGAUAUAGAGCGUUGCAACUACUCCCAUUUUUUAUAGUGCAAAAAAAUUGCUGCGUGGCAGAUUUUGAUUCGCCAAAGAAGUCCGGGAGGUCAACAUUUUCAAUUCGAAUUCGAAGUUCAAUUUCGCCGUCGGAUUUGCCGACGUUACACAGAAAAGCUUGGAAGAAACAAGUGUCAUGUAGUUGACACGUGGAUGGCGAUGAUCGCUGUAGUAUUUUUGAGUUGAAUUUAGUAUACGUGGCUUCAUCAUGUGUCGAUGUUACCGGUAUGUGUCGAGAGCGGGGUGAUGGGAGUAAAUGUUGUGUACAUGGCACGGAUUGCGAUGCACCUCCUUUUGGCACGAUAAGCGAGGUGGUGAGUGGUGAGUGGUGAGUGGUGAGCCUCACGUCCUUUGUCUGUUGAUAAUGGUGGGCUGGUCUG